ACAUACGACCAUAGGGUGUGGAGAACAGGGCUUCCCGUCCGCUCAGCCGUACUUAAGCCACACGCCGGGAGGUAGUAGUUGGGUGGUGACCACCAGCGAAUCCCUCCUGUUGUAUGUU
RNAcentral lists this ribosomal RNA (118 nucleotides) under Aspergillus parasiticus SU-1. Lineage: Eukaryota; Fungi; Ascomycota; Eurotiomycetes; Eurotiales; Aspergillaceae. The record is from RNAcentral.